This 201-nucleotide long non-coding RNA is filed under the name Mytilus galloprovincialis (Mediterranean mussel). The record is from RNAcentral. Lineage: Eukaryota; Metazoa; Mollusca; Bivalvia; Mytilida; Mytilidae.
GAAACAAAGUUGCUCUUGUUGAAUUCUUUGUGUCGAAAUGGAUUAAACAAUCCUAUAGAUUUACACUUGAAGGAAUUGAUUUAUUUGUAUCACAUGGAAGUAUGUGCCACAAAAUUUCUGUUGAAAAUGAAAUAGUGACAAGUGUAAAAUGCACUGAGCUUCUAAGCAAACAGGAAGAAGCCGACACAAAAAUGUUUCUUC